GGGGGCAUAGCUCAGAGGUAGAGCGCCCGCUUCGCAUGCGGGAAGUCCGGGGUUCAAUCCCCCGUGCCUCCA
This is a transfer RNA of Caenorhabditis elegans, 72 nucleotides long. It matches the Rfam family "tRNA". From Rfam's summary of the family: Transfer RNA (tRNA) molecules are approximately 80 nucleotides in length. Their secondary structure includes four short double-helical elements and three loops (D, anti-codon, and T loops). Further hydrogen bonds mediate the characteristic L-shaped molecular structure. tRNAs have two regions of fundamental functional importance: the anti-codon, which is responsible for specific mRNA codon recognition, and the 3' end, to which the tRNAs corresponding amino acid is attached (by aminoacyl-tRNA synthetases). tRNAs cope with the degeneracy of the genetic code in two manners: having more than one tRNA (with a specific anti-codon) for a particular amino acid; and 'wobble' base-pairing, i.e. permitting non-standard base-pairing at the 3rd anti-codon position. The record is from Rfam. NCBI's taxonomy places the organism in Eukaryota, Metazoa, Nematoda, Chromadorea, Rhabditida, Rhabditidae.